Long non-coding RNA from Puntigrus tetrazona (Sumatra barb), 2685 nucleotides. RefSeq lists it as uncharacterized. The transcript has 3 exons. NCBI's taxonomy places the organism in Eukaryota, Metazoa, Chordata, Actinopteri, Cypriniformes, Cyprinidae. The record is from RefSeq and is a predicted model, not a curated record.
GCAGAGGAAGUUUAUACUAACUUUAUACUAAACAAGUGAAACGUCACGUUUUAAACCGCUUUAGCUUUAAGCAGUGGACCAGUAGCUGCGUGGUGUGCUGCAGUCUAACAGAAGUCUACAGAAUAAGACACCAUCUAGUAUCUGAAGGGGUUUUUUACUUCAAUUAUCUGUGUUUUUAAUCUCACUUUGUGUUUACAACAGAUAAAGGAUAAUGGAUAAUGUUCUGCAAAGUUACUAGUACGCUGCCAUUUACUACUUUAGAUAUUUAGAUAUUUAGAUAUUUGUACAUUAAACACUUAUUAAAUGAUUAUUUGUAAGCAGUUUCAAAUCGCAGCUAGCUUGGUUCACGUGAUGUGUGUGCUGCUGGGCAUCUCGGCUUGUCUCUUUUUGUUCAGUUUAAAUAGUAAAUGUUAUUAGAAAGUUUCUGAGGUCUGAACUGUUGCUAAAUUUAACAAAAUAGCUGGAUUAUCUAGACAGUGUGAGGAUGACCAUUAGCUCCCUCUAGUGUAUGAAGCUUUCUAGCACUGCGUUAAAGGCUGUUUUUUAAUAUUGCAUGAAUUUUAUGAUUUUUUUUAAACCUCCGGCCUGGUUUGAGGCUGAAUAAAGCUGUGUGUUGUUAAUGAGAGACUACACGCAACAUGGGACGGUCUUAUGUCCUUUAUAAAGAUUUGAGUAUUUUGGUUGGGAAGGGUUUUCUCUGAAUAUGUGCUUUAUUGUUUCAUAAGCUAGGGGAAAGUGGAAGAAAUAAUUCUAAUUUAUGUGACAGAACCGAGUCUUUAUUUUUCCCAAAGUCACUUCUUUGGCCUUAGGAAGCACUGGGUAGGAUAAACACCGCUUUCUUUUUCUUCUUUUGCCUCAUCCUCACUACGUUCUUGUAAAACGUAUUCCUUUACCGUUUGGUUAAAUUAGUUUGUAAACUGUUUAAAGUAAAACCGGGGCCUUUAUCCCUAUAUGCAUUCUCUAGUUGGGCAUUUAAAGCUAAAUGUAGUCAUUGUGAUUAUAAUAAAUGACCAAAAUUAUCCAUCAGUUGACUUACCAUCCAUAUACCUUUUCUCCAUCAAAGCACAUUAAAACAGUGACGUCCCAUUACUCAGGAUAUAUCUGUAGGUGUAUAAUGUGGUGUGAAGUUGAGUUUGAACAUUAGGUAAUUAAAUGAUGACCUAAAUUAAAUAGUUUCUGGUUUCUGGAUAUCGGUGGGAAUAGAACAAUGUCAUCUGCCUGUUAGAAGUUGCAGUAAUGGCCACAUAUAACCAGCAGAGGUCCACAGAGACUCAUUCAUUUUCAAGCGAAAGAACAGCAGGAAGAAUCUACUGAUAACACCCGUACCAGUCACCGUAACCCCACGCCAAGAGAAAGAGCCCAUACUGAAUGGGUCACGAAUUUCUGAGCGUGAAAGAGAAAGACGAGACUCAAUUGCUUAUGCUUCUACUGCUUCUACAGCAGGACAUCGCAGCCUUGGAUGUCCACUCUAUCCUCAACCCCAGCCGCGAUUGACUCUGGAGCCGCUCUGAACCGGACUGACCACUGCAUCGUCACUAAAUUCAACAUAAUCCUUUAAUCCUCCCAUCAGAAUUAAAGCCAUCAACAACUCUCUUAUCGAAAGAGGAACUACCCAGCAGACUCUCACUCUUCACGUAGGGGUACAUCAAGAGUCCAUCUCCCUGUCACAGAAUCCCUCAAACAUGAAAUCAUCUUGGGAUUCCCGUGGCUCUCUACUCAUGAUCCUGACAUCUCAUGGCAUCACGGCGAGCUAAGAAACCUGUCUAUCUUCUGUCACGAUCGCUGCUUCGCCACCCAGCCUGCUUCACGUGUGACCACCAGCGGAGAAAGCCCAGAAACCCUAAAACCUGUUCAAAUCUCUUUGUGUUACGAUGAUUUGCCUGAAGGUUUUAGCAAAGUCAAGGCUACCAACAACCCCCUCAUCAAGCUUGGGAUUUGGAUGCCGUUAGGUAGCUGGACAAGCCGAGAGAAAAGGUGGUCAGGUGGUGACGAUUGUGGUCGUACACGUUCACACAGCAUAUUCAGAUAAACAGAUCAACUCUGAACAUCACAAGACGAUAAAAAAAAUCACAAUAGUAAGGAUACAAGACAUUUCAGCUGGUAAUUUAUUCGUGCUGCAACACUUAUUGUAAACUGUUACCUUAAUAGUAAAUAGCAAUAAAUGAUUUAGAUUCAUUUCCAUGCAGCAGAACUCAUUUUUAAAACUAAUUGCUCAAAUGACGUCAGAGCACGUGAUCGGAGCAUGAUUCAUGAGAGGCUAGCUGUACUACAGCGCUAUGACAAACAGGAACAAGUGCACUACAUAGACGCUUCCUGACUCUGCUUUUGGAGCUUUGUUAUUUGAGAGGACUUUAAACAUGAGUGGUAGACUACUAAACAAGCAGAAACGCAUUCACUGGGCGGAUUAUAUUAUAUUUUUUUAUAUUAUAUAGGCUAUUUUCUGCUUGUUUGUUCUUUAGAGAAGCUACAGUGGCCGAUAUUAUAGUAUACAGGAUAUAGGGUACAGGAGCCGUAGAUGAUGAUGGCCAGCAAUGAGGUUUCUUGACGAAGAUGCUUAUAGAUGAACCCACCUGCUUCUCUUCAGUGUUGAUGAUGACCAGAUCAGCUCCACGAUCCCUGCAGUACUGUCUGCUGUCAGACCAGCUCUUCUCCUCAUUGGACAUGAACAAGCCAUCUGGACCCCAC